CUUCUUUUUAAGUAGAGGGGUGUGGUUUGAGUUUAUACCUGCUGCAGAGAUCUCUUACUUCCUGACAUCAAUACACCUUGCUGAUACAGAUCCUUGAAACAGACACUUCUUCUAUAAUUGGCCUCAGAGAAAAGACAGCCGGUCAUCUUGGAAUGGAUCAGACUUGGACUCACUUCUAGCCUGGAUAAGGGCCACAGGUACACCCAGCAAAGCGUUACCUCUCACCUGCAAGGAAGAACUGAGUCUCUGUGAAGAGGGUUUCUGCUAAAGCUGUGAUUGCUCAUCCCGGAGUCACUGGACUGACUCGGCAAG
Molecule: long non-coding RNA, 312 nt
Organism: Numida meleagris (helmeted guineafowl)
Lineage: Eukaryota; Metazoa; Chordata; Aves; Galliformes; Numididae
Exons: 3
Source: RefSeq, a predicted model, not a curated record